Molecule: ribosomal RNA, 114 nt
Filed under: Methylobacillus rhizosphaerae
Lineage: Bacteria; Pseudomonadati; Pseudomonadota; Betaproteobacteria; Nitrosomonadales; Methylophilaceae
Source: RNAcentral
UCUGGCGGCCAUAGCGAAUUGGACCCACCCCUUCCCAUCUCGAACAGGGACGUGAAACGAUUCUGCGCCAAUGAUAGUAUGCACCUCGCAUGCGAAAGUAGGUCACCGCCAGGC